Molecule: ribosomal RNA, 481 nt
Filed under: uncultured bacterium
Lineage: Bacteria
Description: partial 16S ribosomal RNA
Rfam family: Bacterial small subunit ribosomal RNA
Source: RNAcentral
AUUGAACGCUGGCGGCAUGCCUUACACAUGCAAGUCGAACGGUAACGGGCCUUCGGGUGCCGACGAGUGGCGAACGGGUGAGUAAUACAUCGGAACGUGCCCGAUCGUGGGGGAUAACGAGGCGAAAGCUUUGCUAAUACCGCAUACGAUCUACGGAUGAAAGCAGGGGACCGCAAGGCCUUGCGCGGACGGAGCGGCCGAUGGCAGAUUAGGUAGUUGGUGGGAUAAAAGCUUACCAAGCCGACGAUCUGUAGCUGGUCUGAGAGGAUGAUCAGCCACACGGGGACGGAGAAACGGCCCAGACCCCUACGGGAGGCAGAAGGGGGGAAUUUUGGAAAAGGGGCGAAAGCCUGAUCCAGCCAUGCCGGGGGCAGGAUGAAGGCCUUCGGGUUGUAAACUGCUUUUGUACGGAACGAAAAGCCUUUUUUUAAAAAAGGGGGGUAAUGACGGUACCGUAAGAAAAAGCACCGGCUAACUACGU